GACAGAGGGUGCAAACGUUGUUCGGAAUUACUGGGCGUAAAGCGCGUGUAGGCGGCUAUGCAAGUCGGAUGUGAAAGCCCUCGGCUCAACCGGGGAAGUGCACCCGAAACUGCAAAGCUAGAGUCUCGGAGAGGAUCGUGGAAUUCUCGGUGUAGAGGUGAAAUUCGUAGAUAUCGUAAGGAAGACCAGUGGCGAAGGCGGGUCUCUGGACAGUUCCUGACGCUGAGGCACGAAGGCCAGGGGAGCAAACGGG
This 253-nucleotide ribosomal RNA is filed under the name uncultured bacterium. RNAcentral's name for it is "partial 16S ribosomal RNA". It matches the Rfam family "Bacterial small subunit ribosomal RNA", at positions 524 to 776 of the family's 1533-position model. The record is from RNAcentral.